GAUGAACGCUGGCGGCGUGCAUAACACAUUCAAGUCGAACGGAGCUUUUGAGAUUAAUCCUUCGGGAAGCGUCGAGGAAGCUUAGUGGCGGACGGGUGAGUAACGCGUGAGCAACCUGCCUCUGUAUGAGGGAUAACGUUUGGAAACGGACGCUAAUACCUCAUGAGGCAAUGAGACCGCAUGAUCUUAUUGCCAAAGAUUUAUCGUACAGAGAUGGGCUCGCGUCUGAUUAGGUAGUUGGUGAGGUAACGGCCCACCAAGCCGACGAUCAGUAGCCGGACUGAGAGGUUGAACGGCCACAUUGGAACUGAGAUACGGUCCAG
This 323-nucleotide ribosomal RNA is filed under the name uncultured bacterium. RNAcentral's name for it is "bacterial SSU rRNA". It matches the Rfam family "Bacterial small subunit ribosomal RNA", at positions 28 to 334 of the family's 1533-position model. The record is from RNAcentral.